This 496-nucleotide ribosomal RNA is filed under the name Terphis sp. SLW-2002. RNAcentral's name for it is "partial 16S ribosomal RNA". The record is from RNAcentral. Lineage: Eukaryota; Metazoa; Arthropoda; Insecta; Diptera; Acroceridae.
CUGCCCAAUGAUAUAAUUUUAAUGGCUGCAGUAAUUUAACUGUACAAAGGUAGCAUAAUCAUUAGUUUUUUAAUUGAGAACUAGAAUGAAAGGUUUUAUGAAAUAUUAAUUUUAUUAUAUUAAUAAUUAUAAUUUUAUUUUUUAGUUAAAAAGCUAAAAUUAGAUUAAAAGACGAGAAGACCCUAUAGAUUUUAAUAAUUAUAAUAAUAUUUAUAUUUUUAGAAUUAUAAAUUAAUUAUUAUUAUUAUAUUUUAUUGGGGUGAUAGUAUAAUUUAAUUAACUUAUAUAUUUUAAUUUAAUAUUUAUUUAUAGAUUUUUGUUCCAUUAAUAGUGAUUAGUAAAUUAAAUUACCUUAGGGAUAACAGCAUAAUUUAUUUGGAAAGUUCAAAUUAAUAAAUAAGAUUAUGACCUCGAUGUUGGAUUAAGAUAAAUUUUAGGAGUAUAAAUUUAAUAAUUAAGUCUGUCGACUUUAAAUCUACAUGAUCUGAGUUCAAAC